CUAAGGCUAAAUACUCUCUAGUGACCGAUAGUGAACCAGUACCGUGAGGGAAAGGUGAAAAGCACCCCGGAAGGGGAGUGAAAUAGAACCUGAAACCGUGUGCUUACAAGUAGUCAGAGCCCGUUAAUGGGUGAUGGCGUGCCUUUUGUAGAAUGAACCGGCGAGUUACGAUUUGAUGCAAGGUUAAGCAGUAAAUGUGGAGCCGUAGCGAAAGCGAGUCUGAAUAGGGCGUUUAGUAUUUGGUCGUAGACCCGAAACCAGGUGAUCUACCCUUGGUCAGGUUGAAGUUCAGGUAACACUGAAUGGAGGACCGAACCGACUUACGUUGAAAAGUGAGCGGAUGAACUGAGGGUAGCGGAGAAAUUCCAAUCGAACCUGGAGAUAGCUGGUUCUCUCCGAAAUAGCUUUAGGGCUAGCCUCAAGUGAUGAUUAUUGGAGGUAGAGCACUGUUUGGACGAGGGGCCCCUCUCGGGUUACCGAAUUCAGACAAACUCCGAAUGCCAAUUAAUUUAACUUGGGAGUCAGAACAUGGGUGAUAAGGUCCGUGUUCGAAAGGGAAACAGCCCAGACCACCAGCUAAGGUCCCAAAAUAUAUGUUAAGUGGAAAAGGAUGUGGCGUUGCCCAGACAACUAGGAUGUUGGCUUAGAAGCAGCCAUCAUUUAAAGAGUGCGUAAUAGCUCACUAGUCGAGUGACACUGCGCCGAAAAUGUACCGGGGCUAAACAUAUUACCGAAGCUGUGGAUUGUCCUUUGGACAAUGGUAGGAGAGCGUUCUAAGGGCGUUGAAGCAUGAUCGUAAGGACAUGUGGAGCGCUUAGAAGUGAGAAUGCCGGUGUGAGUAGCGAAAGACGGGUGAGAAUCCCGUCCACCGAUUGACUAAGGUUUCCAGAGGAAGGCUCGUCCGCUCUGGGUUAGUCGGGUCCUAAGCUGAGGCCGACAGGCGUAGGCGAUGGAUAACAGGUUGAUAUUCCUGUACCACCUAUAAUCGUUUUAAUCGAUGGGGGGACGCAGUAGGAUAGGCGAAGCGUGCGAUUGGAUUGCACGUCUAAGCAGUAAGGCUGAGUAUUAGGCAAAUCCGGUACUCGUUAAGGCUGAGCUGUGAUGGGGAGAAGACAUUGUGUCUUCGAGUCGUUGAUUUCACACUGCCGAGAAAAGCCUCUAGAUAGAAAAUAGGUGCCCGUACCGCAAACCGACACAGGUAGUCAAGAUGAGAAUUCUAAGGUGAGCGAGCGAACUCUCGUUAAGGAACUCGGCAAAAUGACCCCGUAACUUCGGGAGAAGGGGUGCUCUUUAGGGUUAACGCCCAGAAGAGCCGCAGUGAAUAGGCCCAAGCGACUGUUUAUCAAAAACACAGGUCUCUGCUAAACCGUAAGGUGAUGUAUAGGGGCUGACGCCUGCCCGGUGCUGGAAGGUUAAGAGGAGUGGUUAGCUUCUGCGAAGCUACGAAUCGAAGCCCCAGUAAACGGCGGCCGUAACUAUAACGGUCCUAAGGUAGCGAAAUUCCUUGUCGGGUAAGUUCCGACCCGCACGAAAGGCGUAACGAUUUGGGCACUGUCUCAACGAGAGACUCGGUGAAAUCAUAGUACCUGUGAAGAUGCAGGUUACCCGCGACAGGACGGAAAGACCCCGUGGAGCUUUACUGUAGCCUGAUAUUGAAAUUCGGCACAGCUUGUACAGGAUAGGUAGGAGCCUUUGAAACGUGAGCGCUAGCUUACGUGGAGGCGCUGGUGGGAUACUACCCUAGCUGUGUUGGCUUUCUAACCCGCACCACUUAUCGUGGUGGGAGACAGUGUCAGGCGGGCAGUUUGACUGGGGCGGUCGCCUCCUAAAAGGUAACGGAGGCGCUCAAAGGUUCCCUCAGAAUGGUUGGAAAUCAUUCAUAGAGUGUAAAGGCAUAAGGGAGCUUGACUGCGAGACCUACAAGUCGAGCAGGGUCGAAAGACGGACUUAGUGAUCCGGUGGUUCCGCAUGGAAGGGCCAUCGCUCAACGGAUAAAAGCUACCCCGGGGAUAACAGGCUUAUCUCCCCCAAGAGUUCACAUCGACGGGGAGGUUUGGCACCUCGAUGUCGGCUCAUCGCAUCCUGGGGCUGUAGUCGGUCCCAAGGGUUGGGCUGUUCGCCCAUUAAAGCGGUACGCGAGCUGGGUUCAGAACGUCGUGAGACAGUUCGGUCCCUAUCCGUCGUGGGCGUAGGAAAUUUGAGAGGAGCUGUCCUUAGUACGAGAGGACCGGGAUGGACAUACCUCUGGUGUACCAGUUGUCGUGCCAACGGCAUAGCUGGGUAGCUAUGUGUGGACGGGAUAAGUGCUGAAAGCAUCUAAGCAUGAAGCCCCCCUCAAGAUGAGAUUUCCCAACUUCGGUUAUAAGAUCCCUCAAAGAUGAUGAGGUUAAUAGGUUCGAGGUGGAAGCAUGGUGACAUGUGGAGCUGACGAAUACUAAUCGAUCGAAGACUUAAUCAA
Molecule: ribosomal RNA, 2458 nt
Filed under: Staphylococcus aureus
Lineage: Bacteria; Bacillati; Bacillota; Bacilli; Caryophanales; Staphylococcaceae
Description: partial 23S ribosomal RNA
Rfam family: Bacterial large subunit ribosomal RNA
Source: RNAcentral